Molecule: long non-coding RNA, 819 nt
Organism: Pollicipes pollicipes
Lineage: Eukaryota; Metazoa; Arthropoda; Thecostraca; Pollicipedomorpha; Pollicipedidae
Exons: 3
Source: RefSeq, a predicted model, not a curated record
AUGCAGCCUGUAACACUGUGGAUUGUUUGUGUUAAGACCAAAACGAUAUUAUUACGAUGUUUGUUAAGACCUGAUGCAAAAAAAUGGCAAGGAAGACGAAGUGAGAGGCUGAGCUAGCGCAUCGCUAUGCGAGAUAGCCUUGCUGGUGCAGUCUUUUUUGCGGGUGAGGUGGGGCGGCGAAACAUGGGCCACCAGUCUGGGGAACGUCAUUGGGGAUGUCAGAAGCCAGUCUCGGCUGCUUGGUCUUGAUAAGGAAGAAGAUAGGGAAUGGGAGAAUAAGCUGGUCGAGGACUGGCCAUUUGGCAGCGUGCGCGAGCCGGCCAAACGGCUCGCCGAGAUUAUUGGAAAAAAUAUCGCGAUUCUGUAAGUUUGAAUUGUGUAGAACUUGUAGCAGCCAACUUUCUCCACCGCGCAUUAGAAGCGCACGCGAAUUGCUUGCGCCUUAACGGAGCAGUAAAGGUCGGGUAGCUGCGAAAAUCGCCUAGUAUUUUGGCAUGUAAAGAGACAAACACCACAGCUGCAAGCCGCUUCAAGGCUGGUGGUCCACCACUUCAAGAGCGAGUACUGUUUUCUCGUCCCCAGAGCUACUUCGUGCCAUCCAGCAAGGACAUACCGACCGACUUCCGUGUCAAGCUCUUGAAAAACAACUACAACCCCGUCGGUGUUUUCAACUCGAAAGCCACCGGCGAGCCUCCGCUGUGUGUGACGUUCAGCUGCCUGAGCGCGCUGAGGCAGGCCGUCGCGGCAGCUCGCAAGGACGCCGGAAAAGUCAACUGGACUCAGCUUGACGCGCCGAGUACAGUGGAGUCCGUCCAGACC